GGUCUCGAUCUCUUGACCUCGUAAUCCCCCCAUCUCAGCCUCCCAAAGGGCUGUGAUUACAGGCGUGAACCACCACGCGCGGCCUGUCAGGCCUCUGAGCCCAAGCUAAGGCAUCACAUCCCCUGUGACCUGCACGUAUACAUCCAGGUGGCCUGAAGCAACUGAAGAUCCACAAAAAAAGUGAAAAUAGCCUUAACUGAUGACAUUCCACCAUUGUGAUUUGUUUCUGCCCCACCCUGACUGAUCAAUGUGCUUUGCAAUCUCUCCCAACCUUAAGAAGGUUCUUUGUAAUCUCCCACAACCUUAAGAAGGUUCUUUGUAAUCUCCCACAACCUUAAGAAGGUUCUUUGUAAUUCUCCCCACCCAUGUAUACUUUGUGAGAUCCACUCCCUGCCUGCAAAACAUUGCUCCUAACUCCACCGCCUAUCCCAACACCUGUAAGAGCUAGUGAUAAUCCCACCACUCUUUGCUGACUCUCUUUUCGGACUCAGCCCGCCUGCACGCAGGUGAAAUAAAUAGCCUUGUUGCUCACACAAAGCCUGUUCGGUGGGCUCUUCACUCGGACGCACGUGACACGGCCCAGAGUUUUACUAUUUCUCAAAUCAGUCUCCCAGCAUUCAGAGAUCAGAGUUUUUAAAGAUAAUUUGGCGGAUAGGGGCUUGGGAAGUGAGGAGCGCUGACUGGUCAGGUUGGAGACGGAAUCAUAGGAGAUCAAAGUGAGAUUUUCUUGCUGUCUUCUGUUCCUGGGUGCGGUGGCAGAACUGGUUAGGUCAGAUUAUGAGUCUGGGUGGUGUCAGCUGAUCUAUCGAGUGCAGGGUCUGAAAAGUAUCUCAAGUACUGAUCUUAGGUUUUACAAUAGUGAUGUUAUUCCCAGGAGCAAUGUGGGGAAGUUCCGACUCUUAGAGUCAGAGUCUGCAUGACCCCUAAACUACAAUUUCUGAUCUCGUAGCUAAUCUGUUAGUCUUGCAAAGGCAGACUGGUCCCCAGGCAAGAAGAGUCUUUUCGGUUAAGGGCUAUUAUCAAUUUUGUUUCAGAGUCAAACCACGAGCUGAAUUCCUCCCCGAAGUUUGUUCAGCCCACGCCGAGGAAUGGACAAGGACAGCUUAAAGACCAGGCAUCUCCGUCCUGCCUUCCCCUGGAUAACGCAGU
Molecule: long non-coding RNA, 1149 nt
Filed under: Homo sapiens (human)
Lineage: Eukaryota; Metazoa; Chordata; Mammalia; Primates; Hominidae
Description: HSALNT0236654
Source: RNAcentral